Molecule: non-coding RNA, 75 nt
Organism: Galeopterus variegatus (Sunda flying lemur)
Lineage: Eukaryota; Metazoa; Chordata; Mammalia; Dermoptera; Cynocephalidae
Source: the annotation of a RefSeq genome assembly
GGCUAGUUAGCUCAGUUGGUUAGAGCGUGGUGCUAUGACCACCAAGGUCAAGAGUUCGGAUCCCCAUACUAGCCA